AUCUGGUUCAGAAUUUAUAUCCCCAACUCUUCAUACUUGGCACAUUGUAGGUCCUCUGUAAGUGUUUUCAUUCUGAGUCCAUUUCCUUGUCUGAUUCAAUGUCUUCCACUGUAAAAUGGAGCUAAUUCAUUUAUUAGAGGAUUGCAGUAAGGAGUGAGCUAAUGUGCACAAAAAUGGAGUGCCCUGGAGGUGUUCGCCAGGUUUUGUGUAGGGAAUAUUUUUGCUUUUACAAAUUCAUAUUGUUUUAGCAUGCUUGCUAAUGUAUUUUAUAUAAGUGCACCUAAGUUAUAAGCCAUUCUCAAAUAUUAUGUUUUGAUAAACUAUAUACUAAAAAGGAAUUUAAAGUAGUUCUUGAAGUUUUGGCAUGUUACCUUCCUGUAACAAAUUCUGUAAAUAUAGGUAUGUCACAUAUUCUUAAAGAUACACCAUCAUAAAUGAGUGUAUAUUCCUAGUCAAGAGGGUUGUUACGCCUUUUUUUUAACUAGAAUUACCAAAGGUGCUAUUAAAUAUGUGACCACAGUAUGAACUUUGAGUUUUAUUUAUGUAUGUAUGUAUGUAUGUAUAUAUAUAUAUAUAUAUAUAUAUAUGUGUGUGUGUGUGUGUGUGUGUGUGUCUGUGUGUAUGUUUAUAUAGAGGGGGGUAGAAUGCUGAAAUGUGCUUUAAAUCAGUUCAGUCAAAGCAGUGCAAUCAUAUACUAAACCAUUUACAACAAAUUAUAUUUAGUGUUAUUAUAAUCAAAUGAAAUCACAGCACUUAUUUUACUUAGCAAUUCUUGCUAUGUUUUAAAACAAACUGAAAGGUGACUGUUCAUUAUGUUAAUAGAAUUAGGAAAGGCUUUUAGAGACUUUUAGACAAACUUACAGCUACUUGAUGCAUUUUUAGUUACUUCCCCAGGAAUGAGUUUUCCUGUCCUUUCUUUUCAUUCCAGAGUUCCCUGUGACAGGAAUAUGCAUUAGACACCAGGCUUUCCUUUACACUUUAUUAAAGUUGUGAUCUUUUCUCAUUACUUGUCACACAACAUAUGUUAACUUGUGUUUCCAGACUAAUAAAGUGGAAAUACAUUUACUGAAACUUAAGAGUAUAUCACAGUAUAGGUAUACUAAUCAUUUAAUGCAAAUAAUUCACAAUGUCAUUCUCCUUGCAUAUUGCAGGUGUCAUCAAGUCCAGUUAGCUUGUUACAUGAAAAUCAUGUGACCAGGAAAAGAAUAAGUCAUUUUUGGUUCACCAAAAACCUUGUCUAAGAAAUAGAUGAUCUUUCAGUUCAAGACUAUUUAGUUGCACUUUCUGCAAUAAGAAAGCUUUAUAGCUGAACUUCAUAUAGAGUUACUGGCCACAUGUGGCUCCUGAGCACUUGUACCAUGGCUGGCGUGAGUGAGGAACUGAACUUUUUAUUGAAUGUAAUUUUAAUAAAUUUAAUUUCAGUAGACACAAUGUGGUUAGCAACUUACUGGACCAUAUCACCUUCAUUGUUUUAUUAUUUCCUAAAGGUCUUAUACUUUAGAAUUAGAAUUAAAAUAUCUGAUACACCAGGCCAUUCAGUGCAUUGGAAAUGGAAUUUCUCAUUAUUGGAAGGCUUGCCUUUACAGGAAGAAAUAUAGUUUCUCCUUCUGGAGGAACCUACUUAAAAUAUGCUUUUGCUCCACCCAAAAUAGCUAAGCCAAAAAUAUAAUCUUCCUUUGGAAUGUACUAACUGGAAUUUAUUCAACAUAAAUCUGAUGAUGAAUCUGCAGAGACUUGACUGGAACACAUAUACCUGAAUUUCACCACAAGUAAACAG
RNAcentral lists this long non-coding RNA (1777 nucleotides) under Marmota monax (woodchuck). Lineage: Eukaryota; Metazoa; Chordata; Mammalia; Rodentia; Sciuridae. The record is from RNAcentral.